AUGGGUUACUACCUGAACAGACAUGUGUCGACUGUAAUGUCACCUAGUAUAAGGUGCGACCACCGCCCAUAUAAGGGGGGAAAAGUCCGAUUCGACAAGGGUAGAAUGCCUAGUCGAAGGUCUAGUACAGUAGGUAGUAGGCGUGUUCGUUUUGGCUCCCGAGCGAGAACGAGAAAGAGGCGCUGCACCAUUCUUGCUGCUAUGUACGUGAACCUUGACUUGAGAGAUUCAUCCAAUGGAACCCGCACUCAAAGGAGGACCACAAGCUCGGGGCUCGACGAAACAUAAAAUAUAAGCAUUAAGAAACUGGGGUUAGCAGUGAAAGAAAGAGCCCGGCAUUCAUAUGAAUAGCUUAGUCUACUAAAAUCAAAGAGGGACCAGCCUCAUCGUGGUAAUUAUCGUUCACCUCUAAUGUGACACGUUNCCUCCCANUUAUAUGAUCCACGGGAUCANUCGGCUAGAGAGCGNGGCUAUUCUUCUUCCGGGGAGGGAAAGUCGUCCCCUCCACUGAUCGAACCCUCAGUUCGGGGGUCUUAGUCAACAUGUUUUGAGGCUCCAGUCUUCGGCGCAUCACCAUUACUUGAAUUAGAAAGGCGAACAUCUAGGCAAGGGAAAGCGCAGUGCGCCUGGUGCAAAUGGCUUUUUUCAUUAUAUACCAAUCAGAAUGGAGGACCCUACCUACGAACAUUAUU
Molecule: long non-coding RNA, 692 nt
Filed under: Vigna radiata
Lineage: Eukaryota; Viridiplantae; Streptophyta; Magnoliopsida; Fabales; Fabaceae
Description: long non-coding RNA (VRAD_LNC000961)
Source: RNAcentral